AGAGAGAAGCGAAGCCGCGAGGCAGAGCAAAUCUGAAAAAAGACAUCCCUAGUUCGGAUUGUAGGCUGCAACUCGCCUACAUGAAGCUGGAAUUGCUAGUAAUCACAGGUCAGCAUACUGUGGUGAAUACGUUCCCGGGCCUUGUACACACCGCCCGUCAAGCCAUGGGAGCCGGGGGUACCUGAAGUGCGUAACCGCGAGGAUCGCCCUAGGGUAAAACUGGUGACUGGGGCUAAGUCGUAACAAGGUAUC
RNAcentral lists this ribosomal RNA (252 nucleotides) under uncultured bacterium. RNAcentral's name for it is "partial 16S ribosomal RNA". It matches the Rfam family "Bacterial small subunit ribosomal RNA", at positions 1241 to 1500 of the family's 1533-position model. The record is from RNAcentral.